CAAAACACACCUCCAACCCACAGAGCUGGGUUGGAUGGAGGCUGUGCCCCUGGCGUCCAAGUGAAGGGACUCAGCCUCGGCGAGGGCCUCUAACCCAAAGUGGGGACAAAAAGGGAGACCCGCCCCUCCGGCUCGACAAUCAGAGGACGACUGGGGGAGGCAGGGGUGGGUCUCCUGAAGCCGAGUGGGCAGUGAAGGGAGGCUAGAGCCCUUGGCUUAGCCCUUGGCUACUACUGGCUCCUGUUCCGAGGCAGAACGGCAGGCAAGGGCAGCCAGAGCGAGGCCUCGUGCCCGCGUGGGCCUUGGGAGUCCGGGGCUGCAACGGAGAUCGGGGUCCUCAACCCGCCUCCAGCGGCUCGCCCUACCCGGCCUCGGCUUCCCCCGCGGCCGCCACUGUCCGAGCCGCGCCCGGGGAGGGGGCUGGGGGGAGCGAGUCGGGAAUUAUGGUGCGCGACGCCCCCCCCCCCCGAGGCCUAAGGUCCCCCGAGACCCGUCACCAGGAUCGCGGGCGCCGUGCCUCGCAGGCUCUUAGGGCCCGGUACUGCCUCCCGGCUCCCAGCGACAACCGGGGGAAAGCAGGAUGGCGGAAGGAAGGAGGAAAGCCGGCCGCCAUUAGCCAUAGCAGUAGUGAACGGCCGGGCGGCUUCAGCUUUGGCUCC
This 659-nucleotide long non-coding RNA is filed under the name Rattus norvegicus (Norway rat). RNAcentral's name for it is "long non-coding RNA NONRATT007979". Lineage: Eukaryota; Metazoa; Chordata; Mammalia; Rodentia; Muridae. The record is from RNAcentral.